AAAACACGUGAGUGCUGCUGGUCGCUGUAGCGGGCCUCGGCGUGGGCGGCGGGAAUCCGCGGACAUCGGGUCGGGUCUAGGCUCCCGAGUCCGCGCUUCUGGGCGGGAGCCCUUGUCUGGGUCUCGCGGGGGUCUGCCAGAUGCGUAGGUCUCACUGACUGGUUCCUUGUUGCUCUUUCCAGCAAAUGGCGGAUGACGCCGGUGCAGCGGGGGGGCCCGGAGGCCCUGGUGGCCCUGGGAUGGGGAACCGCGGUGGCUUCCGCGGAGGUUUCGGCAGUGGCAUCCGGGGCCGGGGUCGCGGCCGGGGACGGGGCCGGGGCCGAGGCCGCGGAGCUCGCGGAGGCAAGGCCGAGGAUAAGGAGUGGAUGCCCGUCACCAAGUUGGGCCGCUUGGUCAAGGACAUGAAGAUCAAGUCUCUGGAGGAGAUCUAUCUCUUCUCCCUGCCCAUUAAGGAAUCAGAGAUCAUUGACUUCUUCCUGGGGGCCUCUCUCAAGGAUGAGGUUUUGAAGAUUAUGCCAGUGCAGAAGCAGACCCGUGCCGGCCAGCGCACCAGGUUCAAGGCGUUUGUUGCUAUCGGGGACUACAAUGGCCACGUCGGUCUGGGUGUUAAGUGCUCCAAGGAGGUGGCCACCGCCAUCCGUGGGGCCAUCAUCCUGGCCAAGCUCUCCAUUGUCCCCGUGCGCAGAGGCUACUGGGGGAACAAGAUCGGCAAGCCCCACACCGUCCCUUGCAAGGUAGGCUGGUGGCAGGUGAUGGGCCUGCCGUGGGGCAGGCUCCUUCGGGCCCCCAUCUCCUGACUCCUUCCCUCACCAGGUGACAGGCCGCUGCGGCUCUGUGCUGGUGCGCCUCAUCCCUGCACCCAGGGGCACUGGCAUCGUCUCCGCACCUGUGCCUAAGAAGCUGCUCAUGAUGGCUGGUAUCGACGACUGCUACACCUCAGCCCGGGGCUGCACUGCCACCCUGGGUAACUUCGCCAAGGCCACCUUUGAUGCCAUUUCUAAGACCUACAGCUACCUGACCCCUGACCUCUGGAAGGAGACUGUAUUUACCAAGUCUCCCUAUCAGGAAUUCACUGACCACCUCGUCAAGACCCACACCAGAGUCUCUGUGCAGCGGACUCAGGCUCCAGCUGUGGCUACAACAUAGGAUUUUUAUACAAGAAAAAAUAAAGUGAAUUAAGUGUG
This 1184-nucleotide small RNA is filed under the name Pongo abelii (Sumatran orangutan). RNAcentral's name for it is "retained intron". The record is from RNAcentral. Lineage: Eukaryota; Metazoa; Chordata; Mammalia; Primates; Hominidae.